Molecule: non-coding RNA, 4605 nt
Organism: Podarcis lilfordi (Lilford's wall lizard)
Lineage: Eukaryota; Metazoa; Chordata; Lepidosauria; Squamata; Lacertidae
Source: the annotation of a GenBank genome assembly
AAUUAUGUUAUGGUUACAGUACAUUUAUAUGGUAGACUGCAUUUCAGCUAUAAAAACACCACAAGAUUCCUAUCUUUUCAACUGCAGAAGCAAGAAGCAUCAACCCAGUUCAAGGGUUAAUUUCAGCCCAGCAGAAGCACCACAGAGGUGUGUGGCCUGACUUAUGCCCCAAGGGCCAAACAGAGGGCCUCAUUAGGCCCCUGGGCCUGAGAUCCCCCCACUCCUGGAUUGCAGCAACCAUGGACGCAUAAGGUAAAAAUGGAACUGAGCUCCAUGCCUGAUACAAAGUUAUAUUACCCUAAAAAUAAUGGCUUGCGCUCUCAGAGUUGAUAAAACACAACCUGCAAUAUGCUCAUUUGAAUUAGGGCUGUUUCAGUAGCUGACAAAAGAAAUCCAAGCCUCAUAAAACGAAGCUAAGAUAGAACAACCCCUUCCUGGACUACCUCAUAAAAAGCGAUAUUAUUCAUUAUCAGAAUUUAACAUUCAUGAUUCAACCAAAAUCUAAGUAAUGGGGAACCUGUUCUUCCUCCUCCUUUCAUCCGGUUGCGAGCUACAUUAAUCCUAAUUGAAAUCUACUUGGCAGUAGCAACGGAGAGACAGCCUGUGCUGGUCUUCUACUUACCACUGCCAGUCCAAACCACAGACGGCAGCAAUGAUGGAGUGAGCAGAGGCCAUUUGGUCGACAUAGCUGGAGUUUUGCACUAGCAAUGUGGCCCUUUGGUUGAAAAUGAUUCUGUCAUCACUGGCCUACUGGGUGCCUGCCUGUCUUCUUCAACACAUCCUGCUGACAAGCUACUUUGAAAAGCUUUUAAAUACAGUUUUUUAUGGGUUUUCACUACUUUAUUGUAAGCAGCCUGGGUGAAAAUUAGAAUGGAAAUUCUAUACGUAAUGGUGUUUGAAAGUAUGGCCAAAGAGUGGCCCAGCAGUGUUUCACAUAAAGAAGGACCAAAAUCACUAUACAAUACAAGAUGGUGACUGUGGCAGGGGAUGAGGUGUCCUGCCACACACAUUCCACUGGCCAGAGCCCACAAAAUCCACUGUAAGACUGAGUGACAAAAGACCAAGUGAUGUACACACGUGUGAAUUGGCCCUCCUCUUCUGAGUUUGCUUUUAGCACUGGGUUGCCAUAUGUUUGGAAUUUCCUGGACAUAGCCAGUAUUCUGCCCUCUUAAACAGUGUCCAGAGAUUUUGCAAAGAAUUGUAAAGCAGCCGUAUUCAGCUGCAGGUCACCUUCUGUUGUCCUUACAGAGUGGGGCAGUGCUUCCAGCGACGCCUCUAAGCAAUUGCUAGCAGCAGAUGCAUCUGCUUCCGACAGACCUGCCAAGGAAGUGUCUGGGAAGUGUCCCACGUGUGGUGCGUGUGUGCGUGUGUGUGUGUUGGUGAAGCUCAUCUCAGUGUUCCACUGAACUUGAGGGAACGAGCCCCUCUCCUCCUUAACUGCUUAAAUAGGAUUAGCUGGCUUCCUCCCCGAAUAAAUCUGCUUGCUUCUCAUCUUCAGCCAUGCGCACCGUGAAAACAACCCUGAUAAAUGAGAGGUUUUUAAGACACUUCCUACAAGAACUAUCAGCCAUACAUCAAAGUUAGGCACUUCCAAGAGCUCCAGUGCUCUGGCAAUCUGUCUGUGGGAUGCAAGAUGACGCUCCGAUGCCCUGAGCCGACGCUAUCUGGGAGCGUUGCUGGAGCAGCAAACUCAGCCCCUCAGGAGGCCUUGGAGAGGGCGGGGGAGGAAGAAGAGGUCUGCUAAUUCUGGCCUUCUCCAGAGAAACACUGAUGUGACAUGCUGGGCCUGGACAAGCCCCUGCAGUCAGAAGGUCAAUCCAUCAAUCUCAAGGACUUGCGUGACCCUACCCCCAUCCUAUGUUUUCCCUUCCAUGUAAAAGGAGGGCCUCACAGACUUUAAUGGUGUCCUCACAAUACCCCUGUGAGGUAUCAAGUGCUGUCUCUCUCUCUUUCCCCUUCCCACUCUCCAGAUGGAGAAUGUUGGAAGGCAAGAGAUUCUGGGCCUGGUUUCACUGAGCUGGUAAAACGCCUUCUGAGUUGUACCACUUCAGAGUGAAGGCAGGGAAAUGCACACAUCUCUUAUGCUGGUUUACUGCAAUGCACUCUCUUUUGGGCUGCCCUUGGGCCUGGUCCAGAUCCUCCAGCUAGUGCAUAAUGCAGCAGCUAGACUGCUGAUGAGGGCAGAUGGCUGAGGGCAUAUAGCGCCUUUGGCAAAACAUCUGCAUUGGCAGCUUGUAUGCUACCAAGCCAGGUUCAAGGCUCUUGUGUCAAUAUGCGAUAUGCACAGCCCUUAACAACUGAUAGGUUAAUUGUUGCCUGCUUUAUUGAUUUCAAGAAAGCAAAAUAGAACACCUUUGAGUAGACAUACGUAAGAGAAUCCAGUUACAAACAUGGAUGAUAUAAUACUUAGUACAGAGACAGAAUAGAUCGAAGCAGUGGAUUGUCUCAGAAAAUAAGUUACCAACUCUGUGUGAUUUUCAAGUGUUAGUAUAGCUCCUCCAAAGUGAGGCAUGGGUACUGGGUGGGCCUGAGAAUUCAGAGCCCUUAUUAAUACAGUAAAAAUAAGAUAAAAAUCACACUUCUUUGAACCAAUCUUUUUUUGCUUCACCUCCCACCACUUGUUUGUGUUGUGUUAGACAUUCAGUCAGGGCUAUAUCCCAGAAAUUAUUGACUCAUGCCUCUUUAGGUAGCAUUGUACACAACUUCCAUUGUUUAUUUGUUUUUCCUUCUUAACUUUAUUUUUCAGUUUCUUAAUAUAACAAAGAAUACCCAUAUGCUGCCAUUCCCGGAGGAACAUUUCAUGUAUACACAACAUAAAUAAUGCAGUCAAACAUAGAGGGCUUAUGCACACUUCCUUUGCUCUUUCCAUGCAUGGUCUGUACUUUAAAGCUCCAUGUUUGACCAUCCUUGUUUUUGCUCUGGAGCUUUCCCCACAAAAAAGCCCCUCUCUUUAAAGCUCAAACAAAGCAAACAGCAAUCUGUGGGAACCCUGAACUGAUGUUUGCUCCUACUGAGUGCUAAAGAGCAGGUUUUUGAAUGGAAAGCUCCCGGGCGAAAAGACCAUAGCUUGGACACAGAGCUUUUAAGCACAGACCUGUGGCAAAAAAGAGUGGGAGAAAAGCUAAGUAUGGACAAGCCCUAAGUUUGUAAAUGGUUUGGAAUUGAUUACAUCAGUUAGGUGUAUUCUGCUUAACAUGAUUGUCCCAUAGUGAGUCAUGGGUAGCUGGUGGUGAGAGGGCAACAUUGUCUUUUCCGCUAUACUAAAUAAACAUGCACCAUACAGUAUCAAAACUGUCUUUGGUCUUUGCAUUCCAUAUUCUAUCUGAUCAUACCUCUAGAGUUAAGUUGGUAGCUGUUUUCCAAUAUUGUAUUAUUAUAUUUCUAGCCACAGAUAUGAAAAAGAUUAGUAGCUCUUUAAACCAUAGAUUAUCACAGAUUUAAUAAAGCUAGUCUUGGACCAUCCUGCCAACAGUAAAAACAGGAGAAGAUCUUUAUGCUAACCAGUUGGAUUUAGGGGCCCGCUAGGGGCGCAUUGGAAGAUGGCUGACAAUACCAUCUCUCCGGCUCACACGAGGUAAUUAAGAGGCUGAUAUGGGAGUAUGCAGCCUCCCUUGUACCCCAAGGGAAUGGGGAACACUGCCUUGCUUGCUGUUGCCAUAAAUUACCCCUGGAUUCGAAAGAAGGGGGUGAGGGCACUAGGCACAAAGCCCUUGUGUGGGUCCGGCUCUCCCUGACGCUGGCUCUGAUUGCACAGCUAGUUGCAGCAGCUUAAAAUAAACAAUUAGAAAAGAAGCAAAUGCACAUACUUCGAGUGAAGAUCGGGAGUAAAGACUGCUAAUUAAAGGGAUCUCUGUGAAGUGGAGCGACCGGCUGGAUAAUAAAUCAAGAAGAAGACUCAUCAAAGGAUUCGUAUGUCGGAGCGAAACUGAAAACUGUCUUAUGUGAGUACCCAAUAACCCCCCCCCCCCGAGAAAGAAUCGUUGCAAUUACUGAUCACAAGCAGGAAAUUAAGAACUGUGUGGAAAUAAAUUACUAAUCAAAGAUAUGGCUUGUGGGAACAUCAGGAGAGGAAAGAAAGCUUUGUGACACAGUUAUAAAUAGAGACUUGUUACAGCAGACCUGCCCACAGGAGAACGAGGGGGAGGAGGACCAUGGUUGGUUAUUAUAUCGGAAUGUGAGAGAAUGUGAGUUUGACCUGGCAGGGCCCCCUGAGAAAAUUGAUGACAGACUGGCAGGCCUGUGGAAAUCAACGGACAGACUGUGGGAAUGUUUUGUACGGAGGAGUGGAAAUGGUGUCUGUCUUUUUUUGAUAUGGCUCUUGGAGAAGCAUAAAAUACCCACAGGGUAUAACAUGUUUUGUUUUCAACCCGCUUGUGGAGACUAUCAGAGAUCACAAAGAAAGGAAUACAUGAUAACAACAAGAAGAUGAGGAAAAUAACAAAGAGACUAUCUGGACAGAACUGUGUAAUUAAAGCAGCAGCAAGAGGGAUGUUUGGAUCCCUUUCGGAGCUCGAAGUAUGGGUACCCCCAACAAAAAUUUUAAAAAUUGGCUGUGUAAUUUGGAACUAAUGUGAUUUGGAAUUAAUGUGAUUUGAUUGGCCUGUU